Long non-coding RNA from Helianthus annuus (common sunflower), 4594 nucleotides. RefSeq lists it as uncharacterized. The record is from RefSeq and is a predicted model, not a curated record. NCBI's taxonomy places the organism in Eukaryota, Viridiplantae, Streptophyta, Magnoliopsida, Asterales, Asteraceae. The transcript is spliced from 9 exons.
UUUUCCUCUUUUCUCCUCAAUUCCUUGAUUCUUCUUUCACACGCUCCUUUGAUUUUAGUCAAUCCAAACCCUAAUUGUUCCUCUCUCUCCAAUCAAUCCAAACCCAAAUUGUUCGCCUGUAUACGUUUCAUCUUUCUCAAAUUCAUCUAUCUCAAUGUCCAAACUUAAAUGCGAAGAAAAAAAUAAGCCAAUGGAUCUUCUAUUGAUUUCUCAAACUCAAACCCUAAUGGCGAUUUCUGAAACUCAAAUCCUAAAGGCGAUUCGAAGAAAAAUCUAAGCCAAUCGAUUGGAUCUUCUGUUGAUUACUCUUUUUCUAAUCUUCUAUGAAUCAUGGUCCCUCAACCAAGGUGGGUUAUGAUGGGGAUGCCAAUGGUGGGAUGAUUACUCGAGAUACGUAACCCCUGUUGUAGUUGAUGAUCAGGUAUACAUUCACAAGAUGAUCAGUUGAGUUUUAUUGGCUGGAACACAAGAUUUGUUUCAUAAAUUCUUUUACAUUAAGCAAAAAAAAGAGGAUUUUUGAAAGAUGUAUGAUGUUAAUGUCAAGAAGCCAUUUGAUAACCUUGGAAGGGAAAAGUUUUUUGUUCAGCCCUUCGGAUCCUGAAAAAUUCCCAUUUGUUGUGUGGAGGAAUAAGGUAGACGCUAAUGGAGGCAAUAGUCAACUGAUGCAAAUAAGAGUCUACAAGGUUCAAGAAGAAAGUGGAGAGAUGAUUUGGUUUUAGGCGAUAGUUGAUAAGGUUAUGGUGGGGGUGAGUGUCUUAUUAAUAUUGACUGGUAUGGCUUUUAUAUAUUUCUUUAGUUUAUGUGGCUAAUACCCGAUUGUCAGAGCACACACCCGAUUUUGGACUCAAAACCCGAUAUUCUUUUACAUUGUCAGUUGUCAAGGACUUUAUUUUUAAAUAUUUUUCACAGAUAAGCACAAGAAAGAUUUGUUUGAAGCUCUAGAGAAGGUCAAAGCUGAGUUGAUGAUUCUGGGGUUCAUCUCACUGAUAUUGACUUUUAAUCAGUAUUACAUUGCGGAAAUAUGCAUCCCAGUUGAUGUUGCUGAUACAAUGUUGCCAUGUGCUAUAAAAGAUAAAACGGAGAAAAAAGAAAAAGGAGCCCGUCGAUUUCUUCUAUGGUACGAGCAUGGUAGAUCAUUGGCUGGUGACUUAAAGUCUACCUGCAAGGAGGUGAAUAAUUAGUUAGUCAUUCCAUCUUAAGCAAUGUGUAUGAAGGGUGGCAAUAGUGUCGGAUUGGCGGGUUGAAUCUGCAAGGAGGUGAAUAAUUAGUUAGUCAUUCCAUCUUAAGCAAUGUGUAUGAAGGGUGGCAAUAGUGUCGGAUUGGCGGGUUAAAUUGAAUAUGACCCAUAUAUUUAUGCGUCUCAAAUAUAUCAACACUAACCCAGACAGUACACUAUUACACUAAGAAUCAUGCAAACCGAACAUGACCUGUCUACUCAUUUAUAUAUAUGGGUCAAACGGGCUAACCUGUUUUACAUGGGUUGGUGGUUGUAAGUCGGUCUCAAUCGGUUAAUCGGGUCAUACUUGGGCUGUAAUAAAUGGGUUAAAUGGAUCGUAAUGGUGCUGGUGGGUUAAUCGGGUCAUAUUUGCUGAAGUUUAGUUAUCCUUCAUUAAUAUAGUUUUUUGGUUAGUUAUAUUUUACUCUGGAAUGGGUUGCAUCAAUCUUUGGGGUACCAACUGAAUUAAUAAGAAAUUUUUGGUCUUUCUUAUCACACUAUGAUUUAGUAGUCUAAAAACUUCAUUAGUAACACCAAGUGUACUUUUCAGGCUCAUGGGUACAAGACAGUAUUAAUGAUCGGUAGUUGUUUUGUACCAAUUCGACUGAGUGAAUUCAAAUGUAUUAAAGAAUAUACUCCAAAUGAAAACGAAUGGACUUUACCAAAUUGAUGUCGAGUGUCCAUGAAAAAUACCGGUACUAAACUGAACCGUACCUAUUGAAUUUUGCCACCUAUUUUUUGUAUUUUUCGGGAUUGGUACUUCCGAUUCGGCAUGAAACGGUAUUUUACCCAAUUUUUUUACCUUUGAAUACUGUACUUCGAUGCCGGUACCGCUACCAAAUUUUCUGAAAAUUAAAUCCAAAAACUUGCAGAUUUUUUCAGAAAAAAAUCCCAAAAAAUAGCAUACUUUUCAGCAAAAAAACGUUAAACAAGUGCAGGUUUUUGCAGCACCCGGUUCCGCCAAAAAAACCACAAUUUUACCAGCAAAAAAACAUCACAAAAUGCAGGUUUUUUCUGCGAAAAAACACAAAAAACGCAAUUUCUUUCGGCGAAAAAGGCAACCAGCAGCAGCGUCGCUGCCGGUUUUUUCGACAGACGAAAAUGCGUCGUUGCAGGUUUUUUGAACUGACGAAACGUUGUUUUUUUUCAGCGAUCUGCAGCUGCAGGUUUUUUGGACUGACGAACCGAUUCAGCUGGGAAUAGUUUGGGUUUUAGUCAAAGCAACUUAACUAACAUUCAUACCUUUGAUUAUGCAGAGUGUUAGUUGUCACAACUUUUAUCAUCCUUGGAUUUAGCAAUCACCAAUCACCUGGUUACUACUUGGCGCCACAAAUCCAUAAUUCAGCCGAGCACCAUCGCCGCUACAAACUCUCAGACCGCUGAUCAUUUGCAUGGACUUGACAGUUGGUCUUAGGGAUUGGGAUAACCGAAACGCCUAAAGACGACUUUUGUAGUGGAUUGGGAUAACCUGGGAAUAACAAAUUAGUUUUCAUGGACGGUUAAUCUUAUAAGUUUGAUCUUGAAGACUUACUUCUGCCUCUUCUGAAGCUCUGGGAAAGGGCGGUUAUGGUACAACUUAUAAAGUUGUUUCAGGCGAAGGAACAAUGGUGGUCAUAAAAAAAGGCUGAGAGAAGUUGUCGUUGGAAAAAGAGGAUCCGACCAGCAAAUGGAAAAAGAGAAAGCCAUAAUUAGGGGACAUGGACAUGUUUCCGUAAGUAUAAAUGAAUCUUGAAACGUUCUUUUUUCAUAGUAUUGCUGAAAAAUCUGUAAUUAAGAAGUACCAGUGACAAAUAUCAGUUCUUAAACAAGAGCUUGAUCAGCUUAAAGGGGGAUAUAGGGAUGCUUAUUGGUGAGAUAGUGACUUUAAAACAAAAGGUAAUAUUUCAAUUUUUGGAUAAUGUUUCUGGUAGGCCACAUAUAUAUUGAAGUAAAUUAUAGGCCGUCUAAGUAUGUCUCCAGUUUUUAUAUAUACUUAAAAGGUGGGACAGACAUGUAGUCAGGGUAACGGGUCAACAUGAGUUUGGGUUCAAAAUUAAAAUUGAGUUAAAAUACUACUGGAUUAAGGCGUCAACUUUACUCCUAAAAUUACUCAUAAUAAUAUCCUAUAAUUUUUUACAAUACUUAUUAAAAUAUCCGACUUCAUUACUUAGCUAUUUAUCAUUCUUUCUUGAGUAAAUUACAAGAAUCCUCCUUUAUGUAUGUCACUUAUUGUAAACUGUGUCCUUUAUCUUCAAUAACUAAAGAAAACGUACUCGAUGUUUGUAAACCCUUGCAAGUUAUGUCCUUUAGCCCUAACUCAAUUAAUUUUUUGUGGUUAAAUCUGACCAAAUGGACAUCACAUGAGGGUAUUUUGGUCAUUUUACUUUCAUGUGAGGUCGAUUUGGUCAGACUUAACCACAAAAAUACCCUCAUAUGGGGUCUAUUUGGUCAGAUUUAACCACAAAAAUUAACUGAGUUAGGGCUAAAGGACAUAAGUUGCAAAGGUUUGCAAACAUCGAGUACGUUUUUGGUAAUUAUUGAAGACAAAGGGCUCAGUUUGCAAUAAGUGACAUACAUAAAGGAUUACUUUUGUAAUUUACUCUUCUUUCUUUAAACAAAAUACAACUGAUUCUAGCAUGAAAUAUACUCCUAAAAUUAUUCAGGUGUAUAGGCUAACAUAAAUAAGGUAUUGGGAUGUCUUAAUGCUCAAAAUGUCCGGUUUGUAAUCUUAUUCGAGGAUCGAUAUGCUCUGGGUCUUUUAUACGCUUUUGGAUCGAAACUUAAAUAGGCAAAGUUAAUUUCAAAUGUCUUUUUCCUUCCUUAUUUCGGUUGGAAAGGAACAAACUAUGUGUGGUUAGUGAUAUAUUACGGAGGGAAGGAAAUGUUUUAUCCUUCUCUUGGAACUGGAGUGUAGCGCCCUCUACAAUCUUCAGCCGGUAAGCGUUUUACCAUUACGUUUUGUUUGAAAUAUAAUUCCUUUUUUUAUAAUUACAUCAUUUAACUUUUGAAUGGUUGAAAAUUAAAAGGUUUGAUGUAGUUGUACAAAUAACGAAUGGUUGAUCUAAGAGCUCAGUUUAUGAUUUAUGAUUCUGGAACCAAACAAAGACAGGGUACGUGAGUCUCAUGUGAUGAUACUAGAAAAUUUGUCCUGUCGCCCAAGAUGAUGGCCUGGGUCAAGCUUCAAGGUACACACAAAGUGACGAUAGCACAAACUUGAGACACAAUGAGAGUAGAGUAGUGCAUCAGGUAUAUUUAAUGACCAAAGGACUCAUUUAGACAAUAAUUUUUUAUGAGUUUGUGAAGCAUGAAAUCAGCAUUUGGUAAUUUUGCUUGAAAAAGAAAAUGCAUAUGGGAUAAUAUUUGAUAAAUCUUAAUGAGAUCAACUACUUUAUUUCUUGA